RNAcentral lists this ribosomal RNA (307 nucleotides) under uncultured eukaryote. Its description in RNAcentral is "partial 18S ribosomal RNA". It matches the Rfam family "Eukaryotic small subunit ribosomal RNA", at positions 1470 to 1796 of the family's 1831-position model. The record is from RNAcentral.
CCCUUAGACGUUCUGGGCCGCACGCGCGCUACACUGACACAGGCAACGAGCUUUCCUUUACCGAAAGGUAUGGGUAAUCUUUUGAAACUGUGUCGUGCUGGGGAUAGAUCCUUGCAAUUUUUGAUCUUAAACGAGGAAUUCCUAGUAAGCGCGAGUCAUCAACUCGCGUUGAUUACGUCCCUACCCUUUGUACACACCGCCCGUCGCUACUACCGAUUGAAUGGCUUAGUGAGGCCUCAGGAUCCGCGCUUAAUGUGUGGAGAAUUUGGACAAACUACGUCAUUUAGAGGAAGUAAAAGUCGUAACA